GUAGCCGUGGCCUACUGGUUAGGGCUUCCGGCUUAAAACCAAAGGGUUGUUAGUUCGAUCCCUGACCAGUAGGA
Molecule: transfer RNA, 74 nt
Filed under: Alosa alosa (allis shad)
Lineage: Eukaryota; Metazoa; Chordata; Actinopteri; Clupeiformes; Clupeidae
Description: tRNA-OTHER
Source: RNAcentral